UGGCUCAGGACGAACGCUGGCGGCGUGCUUAACACAUGCAAGUCGAACGGAAAGGCCCCUUCGGGGGUACUCGAGUGGCGAACGGGUGAGUAACACGUGGGCAAUCUGCCCUGCACUUCGGGAUAAGCCUGGGAAACUGGGUCUAAUACCGGAUAGGACCUUUAGACGCAUGUCUUUUGGUGGAAAGCUUUUGCGGUGUGGGAUGGGCCCGCGGCCUAUCAGCUUGUUGGUGGGGUGAUGGCCUACCAAGGCGACGACGGGUAGCCGGCCUGAGAGGGUGUCCGGCCACACUGGGACUGAGAUACGGCCCAGACUCCUACGGGAGGCAGCAGUGGGGAAUAUUGCACAAUGGGCGCAAGCCUGAUGCAGCGACGCCGCGUGGGGGAUGACGGCCUUCGGGUUGUAAACCUCUUUCACCAUCGACGAAGGUUCGGGUUUUCUCGGACUGACGGUAGGUGGAGAAGAAGCACCGGCCAACUACGUGCCAGCAGCCGCGGUAAUACGUAGGGUGCGAGCGUUGUCCGGAAUUACUGGGCGUAAAGAGCUCGUAGGUGGUUUGUCGCGUUGUUCGUGAAAUCUCACGGCUUAACUGUGAGCGUGCGGGCGAUACGGGCAGACUAGAGUACUGCAGGGGAGACUGGAAUUCCUGGUGUAGCGGUGGAAUGCGCAGAUAUCAGGAGGAACACCGGUGGCGAAGGCGGGUCUCUGGGCAGUAACUGACGCUGAGGAGCGAAAGCGUGGGGAGCGAACAGGAUUAGAUACCCUGGUAGUCCACGCCGUAAACGGUGGGUACUAGGUGUGGGUUUCCUUCCUUGGGAUCCGUGCCGUAGCUAACGCAUUAAGUACCCCGCCUGGGGAGUACGGCCGCAAGGCUAAAACUCAAAGGAAUUGACGGGGGCCCGCACAAGCGGCGGAGCAUGUGGAUUAAUUCGAUGCAACGCGAAGAACCUUACCUGGGUUUGACAUGCACAGGACGCGUCUAGAGAUAGGCGUUCCCUUGUGGCCUGUGUGCAGGUGGUGCAUGGCUGUCGUCAGCUCGUGUCGUGAGAUGUUGGGUUAAGUCCCGCAACGAGCGCAACCCUUGUCUCAUGUUGCCAGCGGGUAAUGCCGGGGACUCGUGAGAGACUGCCGGGGUCAACUCGGAGGAAGGUGGGGAUGACGUCAAGUCAUCAUGCCCCUUAUGUCCAGGGCUUCACACAUGCUACAAUGGCCGGUACAAAGGGCUGCGAUGCCGCAAGGUUAAGCGAAUCCUUUUAAAGCCGGUCUCAGUUCGGAUUGGGGUCUGCAACUCGACCCCAUGAAGUCGGAGUCGCUAGUAAUCGCAGAUCAGCAACGCUGCGGUGAAUACGUUCCCGGGCCUUGUACACACCGCCCGUCACGUCAUGAAAGUCGGUAACACCCGAAGCCAGUGGCCUAACCUUUUGGAGGGAGCUGUCGAAGGUGGGAUCGGCGAUUGGGACGAAGUCGUAACAAGGUAACC
Molecule: ribosomal RNA, 1480 nt
Filed under: Mycobacterium timonense
Lineage: Bacteria; Bacillati; Actinomycetota; Actinomycetes; Mycobacteriales; Mycobacteriaceae
Description: 16S ribosomal RNA
Rfam family: Bacterial small subunit ribosomal RNA
Source: RNAcentral